UACAGAGGGGGCGAGCGUUGUUCGGAAUUACUGGGCGUAAAGGGCGCGUAGGCGGCCAACUAAGUCGGACGUGAAAUCCCAAGGCUCAACCUUGGAACUGCGUCCGAUACUGGAUGGCUUGAAUCCGGGAGAGGGAUGUGGAAUUCCAGGUGUAGCGGUGAAAUGCGUAGAUAUCUGGAGGAACACCGGUGGCGAAGGCGGCAUCCUGGACCGGUAUUGACGCUGAGGCGCGAAAGCCAGGGGAGCAAACGGG
This 253-nucleotide ribosomal RNA is filed under the name uncultured bacterium. RNAcentral's name for it is "partial 16S ribosomal RNA". It matches the Rfam family "Bacterial small subunit ribosomal RNA", at positions 524 to 776 of the family's 1533-position model. The record is from RNAcentral.